This 64-nucleotide transfer RNA is filed under the name Pseudoglomeris planiuscula. Its description in RNAcentral is "tRNA-Ile". Lineage: Eukaryota; Metazoa; Arthropoda; Insecta; Blattodea; Blaberidae. The record is from RNAcentral.
AGUAAAUGCCUGAUUAAAGGGUUAUCUUGAUAGGGUAAAAUAUGUGAAUAUGCUCACUUUACUU